RNAcentral lists this ribosomal RNA (465 nucleotides) under uncultured bacterium. Its description in RNAcentral is "partial 16S ribosomal RNA". It matches the Rfam family "Bacterial small subunit ribosomal RNA", at positions 28 to 507 of the family's 1533-position model. The record is from RNAcentral.
GACGAACGCUGGCGGCGUGCUUAACACAUGCAAGUCGAACGGAAAGGCCCUGCUUGCAGGGUACUCGAGUGGCGAACGGGUGAGUAACACGUUGGUGAUCUGCCCUGCACUUCUGGAUAAGCCUUGGAAACUGGGUCUAAUACCGGAUAUGAGCCCUUUUUAGUGUUAUGGUUGGAAAGUUUUUUCGGUGUUGGAUGAGCUCGCGGCCUAUCGGCUUGUUUGUGUGUUAAUGGCCUACCCAGGCGGCGUCGGGUAGCCGGACUGGGAGAGUGGGAGGCCACAUUUGGACUAGAUUCCGGCCCAGCCUACUAAGGGCGGCAGGAGUGGGGAAUGUUGCACGAUGGGUGCCGGCCAGAUGCAGGGACGCGGCGUGCGGGAUGACUGUCUUCCGGUUGCAAACAAGUUUAGCUAGGGACGAAGAUUUUUGUGACGUGACCUAGCUAAGAAGCACCGGCUAACUACGUG